RNAcentral lists this ribosomal RNA (429 nucleotides) under Gemmatimonadota bacterium. RNAcentral describes it as "Gemmatimonadetes bacterium partial 16S ribosomal RNA". It matches the Rfam family "Bacterial small subunit ribosomal RNA", at positions 355 to 776 of the family's 1533-position model. The record is from RNAcentral. Lineage: Bacteria; Pseudomonadati; Gemmatimonadota.
UAGGGAAUCUUCGGCAAUGGACGAAAGUCUGACCGAGCAACGCCGCGUGAGUGAAGAAGGUUUUCGGAUCGUAAAACUCUGUUGUUAGAGAAGAACAAGGACGUUAGUAACUGAACGUCCCCUGACGGUAUCUAACCAGAAAGCCACGGCUAACUACGUGCCAGCAGCCGCGGUAAUACGUAGGUGGCAAGCGUUGUCCGGAUUUAUUGGGCGUAAAGCGAGCGCAGGCGGUUUCUUAAGUCUGGUGUGAAAGCCCCCGGCUCAACCGGGGAGGGUCAUUGGAGACUGGGAGACUUGAGUGCAGGAGAGGAGAGUGUAAUUCCAUGUGUAGCGGUGAAAUGCGUAGAUAUAUGGAGGAACACCAGUGGCGAAGGCGGCUCUCUGGUCUGUAACUGACGCUGAGGCUCGAAAGCGUGGGGAGCAAACAGG